CCUACGGGAGGCAGCAGUGGGGAAUCUUGCGCAAUGGGCGGAAGCCUGACGCAGCGACGCCGCGUGCGGGACGAAGGCCUUCGGGUCGUAAACCGCUUUCAGCAGGGACGAGGCCCUCACGGUGACUGUACCUGCAGAAGAAGCCCCGGCUAACUACGUGCCAGAAGCCGCUGUAAUACGUAGGGGGCGAUGGUUAUCCGGAUUCAUGGGGCGUAAAGCGCGCGUAGGCGGCCUGUAAGGUCGGGGGUCAAAUACCGGGGCCAAACCCCGGCCCGCGCCCGAUACCGGCAGGCUUGAGUCUGGUAGGGGGAGGUGGAAUUCCAAGUGUAGCGGUGGAAUGCGCAGAGAUUGGGAAGAACACCGGCGGCGAAGGCGGCCUUCUGGGCCACGACUGACGCUGAGGCGCGAAAGCUAGGGGAGCGAACAGGAUUAGAUACCCGGGUAGUC
RNAcentral lists this ribosomal RNA (447 nucleotides) under uncultured bacterium. RNAcentral describes it as "partial 16S ribosomal RNA". It matches the Rfam family "Bacterial small subunit ribosomal RNA", at positions 338 to 795 of the family's 1533-position model. The record is from RNAcentral.